AGUGAACGCUGGCGGUAGGCCUAACACAUGCAAGUCGAACGGCAGCACAUUAAGAGCUUGCUCUUACGGGUGGCGAGUGGCGGACUGGUGAGGAAUACAUCGGAAUCUACUUUUUCGUGGGGGAUAACGUAUGGAAACUUACGCUAAUACCGCAUACGACCUACGGGUGAAAGCAGGGGAUCUUCGUACCUUGCGCGAUUGAAUGAGCCGAUGUCGGAUUAGCUAGUUGGCGGGGUAAAGGCCCACCAAGGCGACGAUCCGUAGCUGGUCUGAGAGGAUGAUCAGCCACACUGGAACUGAGACACGGUCCAGACUCCUACGGGAGGCAGCAGUGGGGAAUAUUGGACAAUGGGCGCAAGCCUGAUCCAGCUAUACCGCGUGGGUGAAGAAGGCCUUCGGGUUGUAAAGCCCUUUUGUUGGGAAAGAAAAGCAGCAGGUUAAUACCCCGCUGUUCUGACGGUACCCAAAGAAUAAGCACCGGCUAACUUCGUG
RNAcentral lists this ribosomal RNA (492 nucleotides) under uncultured bacterium. RNAcentral describes it as "partial 16S ribosomal RNA". It matches the Rfam family "Bacterial small subunit ribosomal RNA", at positions 29 to 507 of the family's 1533-position model. The record is from RNAcentral.